Molecule: ribosomal RNA, 497 nt
Filed under: uncultured bacterium
Lineage: Bacteria
Description: partial 16S ribosomal RNA
Rfam family: Bacterial small subunit ribosomal RNA
Source: RNAcentral
GAUGAACGCUGGCGGCGUGCCUAAUACAUGCAAGUCGAGCGAACGGACGAGAAGCUUGCUUCUCUGAUGUUAGCGGCGGACGGGUGAGUAACACGUGGAUAACCUACCUAUAAGACUGGGAUAACUUCGGGAAACCGGAGCUAAUACCGGAUGAUAUUUUGAACCGCAUGGUUCAAAAGUGAACGACGGUCUUGCUGUCACUUAUAGAUGGAUCCGCGCUGCAUUAGCUAGUUGGUAAGGUAACGGCUUACCAAGGCAACGAUGCAUAGCUGACCUGAGAGGGUGAUCGGCCACACUGGAACUGAGACACGGUCCAGACUCCUACGGGAGGCAGCAGUAGGGAAUCUUCCGCAAUGGGCGAAAGCCUGACGGAGCAACGCCGCGUGAGUGAUGAAGGUCUUCGGAUCGUAAAACUCUGUUAUUAGGGAAGAACAUAUGUGUAAGUAACUGUGCACAUCUUGACGGUACCUAAUCAGAAAGCCACGGCUAACUACGUG